UACGGCGGUCAUAGCGUGGGGGAAACGCCCGGUCCCAUUCCGAACCCGGAAGCUAAGACUCAUUGCGCCGAUGGUACUGCAUGCGGGAGCGUGUGGGAGAGUAGGUCGCCGCCGGAC
Molecule: ribosomal RNA, 117 nt
Filed under: Citricoccus muralis
Lineage: Bacteria; Bacillati; Actinomycetota; Actinomycetes; Micrococcales; Micrococcaceae
Also listed under: 1 other name
Source: RNAcentral